This 253-nucleotide ribosomal RNA is filed under the name uncultured bacterium. RNAcentral's name for it is "partial 16S ribosomal RNA". It matches the Rfam family "Bacterial small subunit ribosomal RNA", at positions 524 to 776 of the family's 1533-position model. The record is from RNAcentral.
CACGUAGGGCGCAAGCGUUGUCCGGAAUUAUUGGGCGUAAAGAUCUCGUAGGCGGUCUGUUGCGUCCGCUGUGAAAACUCGGGGCUUAACCCCGAGCCUGCAGUGGAUACGGGCAGACUAGAGGUAGGUAGGGGAGAAUGGAAUUCCCGGUGUAGCGGUGAAAUGCGCAGAUAUCGGGAGGAACACCGGUGGCGAAGGCGGUUCUCUGGGCCUUACCUGACGCUGAGGAGCGAAAGCGUGGGGAGCGAACAGG